Molecule: ribosomal RNA, 253 nt
Filed under: uncultured bacterium
Lineage: Bacteria
Description: partial 16S ribosomal RNA
Rfam family: Bacterial small subunit ribosomal RNA
Source: RNAcentral
UACGUAGGGUGCGAGCGUUGUCCGGAAUUAUUGGGCGUAAAGGGCUCGUAGGCGGUUUGUCGCGUCGGGAGUGAAAACCUUGGGCUUAACUCAGGGCUUGCUUUCGAUACGGGCAGACUAGAGGUAUGCAGGGGAGAACGGAAUUCCUGGUGUAGCGGUGAAAUGCGCAGAUAUCAGGAGGAACACCGGUGGCGAAGGCGGUUCUCUGGGCAUGAUCUGACGCUGAGGAGCGAAAGUGUAGGGAGCGAACAGG